Tachysurus fulvidraco (yellow catfish) is the source of this 2975-nucleotide long non-coding RNA. RefSeq lists it as uncharacterized. The record is from RefSeq and is a predicted model, not a curated record. The transcript has 3 exons. Lineage: Eukaryota; Metazoa; Chordata; Actinopteri; Siluriformes; Bagridae.
AUUGACAUGGUUUGUGUAUUUUGGUAGGAUAGAUCUCGACACUGUACUAGUGUUUAGGGUGAAGUUCAGUUGUGGAUAAGUGAAAUAACUGACUCGUCUCAGGCACAUUUUAAAAAUACAACAUUGCAGGAUCUGAACUAAUCGACCAGUCACUCCAUCCAUCACUGUUCUACAUACAAACAGAUUGCUCUGAUGGAAAUAAAGGACAUUGGGCAAGAAUUUUGCAUCUACAGAAAAACCCCCAGGGUGCUGCGGCACUUUAGUCUUAUUUCCCUGUUACUCCCAUCCAGUUCCUCUCCACUCCUGCGUUCCUUCAAUGCCUGACAUGGGGUCUGUGCCAGGGGUCAUUCUUCACGUCAUCAGGUCACUUCCCACACAGCCUUCCACGUUGCUUUCUGUUUCCCAGAUGAAUAUUUCCUGAGCAACUGGGCAUGCUCAGUACAGACUGGCCCUGAAUCCCUGCUGUUAUUCUCCAGCUCUCACCUGUGGCUGCCUGACGGGGGCUCUGGCCAUUCCAAGAUCAUAAAUCUGACACGGAUGUUGUUUUUGGUUCUCGUCACUGUAGCGUGUGAACUGACUAUUCAGCCAAUGGCCUCGGCCAUCCUCAGAGAUUGUGCUGGUUUGUUAUUUGAAGGACAGAGAGGGCAAGCAGCAGGGAGGCUUCAACAGCUCUACACUUCCGGUUCUCACCUUGAGCACAGUCCAUCUGUAGAGAAUAUGUGCAUUCCUGGGGUUUCUAAAAAAGUGCACACCCAAGCUGCUAUCUGUGUCUUUCUUUUCAUUUUCUCUCUACUUCUCCUCACUAUUUACUGUUCAGUUUUUUUUCCACAUUUUGCUUGCUUCCAAAUAACACUAGUUCCUGAAUGACUCUUAGCCUAGACUCUAAUGCACUUGCAUCCACCAGAAUGACUCCCUUUAGGAUUCAGCAUCAUUAGACAAAACAAAUCUUACAGUUACAUACUCAAGCAGCUUGUGAAGCUUAUGCUUCCUUUUGGCUGCCAUAUAUAUGAAGUUCUGCAGCCAGCAGCUCUAUUCCAAAGAGUCUUGAUUAACUUUGUCUGGCUCCAAGCACACUUAGAAAUGGCUCCUGCAACCUCAGCCGCAUAAUGCAACAAUAAACUGUCUAUCCUACCCAUAUUCUACACAUGCACACUCAAACAAAUUCCCCUUAAGAUGCACCACUUCGGAUCUUGAGGCAGCAGAAUCGAUGAGGUGCACUCUGUCCAUAGUUUCCUGUUUACUGCGGGAGUCAUUAAUAGAGGGCUGGGAGGCACUGUAUGGACCAAAUAUUGGGGAUUGUCUAUACCUCUUUAUCUUUUUCUUUUUGACUCGACAGUCUGGGCCAUUCAAGCAGAGUGUCUGCUUCCCAGACAUUAGGAAAUGCGCAGACAAGACUUUACAGUUGAAGAAUGCAUUCUUGCGACACUACGAGGCCAGGAAGGCACCCAGGGGAGUGACUCCUGACAUCGUUCAAGCACACUGUCUGAGCAAUAAGUCAUCAACUUACUUUUGACAGUUGUGGAAGUGCUUGGGGCCAACUCACUAAACUUCUGCUGCUGUUGUGGUUUUUCUUCCAUGGACCCAUAGACCACCAGCUAGCAUUCACCUUCCUGUCUAAUUAUAAUCUUUUGUUUUACAUCCAUUUAGUUUUGAGAUUUGCGUUCUGUUUUAAUCCCUCAUACUCUGCCAGUUGCACACAAAAACACAUGCAUAUUUGGAUUCAGACAAAAAGCAAUGCCAAAUCCAAUCCAAAUAUUUAUAGAAGUUGGCAGCAUGGACCAUCCAAGGCAUGCACACAUAGAGUAGAGAAUCAGACAGUGUAAAUAUGCUCUAGCUAAUAUAAAUAUAAAUCUGCUAGACUAUUUCUAAAUUGUUAUCAAGGCUACAUAAAACAUUGCCUUCUCCAAAUAUAGAAAGGCUACUGAUAAUAACAGAAAUUGAGAAAUAUUUAUAUUCAGUUUGUCAGCAGCAAUCCACACAGCACAGGAUCCCAAAAACUAAAACAAAAAUGAUCCCAUGCGGCAUAACUGGUUCGUAUUUGAUGGUUUACAUUAGUUCAUAGAAAUGUACAAAUUAAUAGAUCUAUACAAAUCAAAGCAAGAAUUUGUAUUAUUAUUAUUAUUAUUAUUAUUAUUAUUAUUAUUAUUACUACUACUACUACUACUACUACUACUACUACUAAUAAUAAUAAUAAUAAUAAUAAUAAUAAUAAUAAUAAUAAUAAUAAUAAUAAUAAUAAUAAUAGUAUGUAAAAAUGCUACCUACCAAAUUAUUAUGAAUGUAGCAAAUAAAAGCAAAAUCAACUGAGCUGAGUGCACUAUAUUUAUAAAUUAUUUACAUUUACCAUUUAUAAAAAAUCGUUAACAGCAACUAAGCAGAUAAUAGCUAAAUAGUGUGUUUAAAAUUAGCUUGGCUGUCAGUCACCAUAAGGGUGACAUCGGCCAUAGGGUUUAAGUUUACUUUAUUUCUGAGGUCUGCAGGUUUGGGGGUUUUUUUAUCUGUUUUUUUAUCUGUUUUUUUGUUUUGUUUUGUUUUGUUUUGUUUUGUUUUGUUUUGUUUCUGAGUUUUUAUUCCGCAGCAGUGUGUCCACCCCAACCCUGACCAGGACAAACUAUAUACAUGUAUUAAUGCUGUUUUAUAAACACAUGAUAUACAUUAACUCCCAAAGAAUAUGUACCUUUUGGAUGAAGACAUAAAUUAUGUUUAUAUAUAAAUAUGUAAGUAAAAAUAUGCAGUAAAGAUGACAUAAAAAUAUUCAUCUUUACUGCAUUAGGACACACUAUGCUCAAACAUAUCAGGGAUCCUGUUGCAAGCCAGGGUUUACAGGGUUUACAGAGUUUGUCCAGUGAAUUUUUAAUAUUAUGAACACCUUCAUCUACACAUUAAUAUUGAAAGCAGGUUAAAAGUGAACAUGAAACACAAUAGUUGAGUGUGAUCAUGUAUUUUUUUGUGCAAGAAUAAAGUCUGAACAUUUA